UACGUAGGGUGCAAGCGUUAAUCGGAAUUACUGGGCGUAAAGCGUGCGCAGGCGGUUUUGUAAGUCUGUCGUGAAAUCCCCGGGCUUAACCUGGGAAUGGCAUUUGGGACUGCAAGGCUCGAGUGCGGCAGAGGAGACUGGAAUUCCUGGUGUAGCAGUGAAAUGCGUAGAUAUCAGGAGGAAUACCGAUGCGAAGGCAGGUCUCUGGGCUGACACUGACGCUCAUGCAC
Molecule: ribosomal RNA, 230 nt
Filed under: uncultured bacterium
Lineage: Bacteria
Description: partial 16S ribosomal RNA
Rfam family: Bacterial small subunit ribosomal RNA
Source: RNAcentral